AGAGUUUGAUCAUGGCUCAGAAUCAACGCNNGGCGGCGUGCUAACACAUGCAAGUCGAACGCGAAAGUGGAGCAAUCCAUGAGUAGAGUGGCAAACGGGUGAGUAACGCGUGGGUGACCUGCCUUCGAGCGGGGGGAUAACGUUCCGAAAGGGACGCUAAUACCGCAUGACAUCCUGCCUUUGAAGAGGCGGAGAUCAAAGCUGGGGAUCGCAAGACCUAGCACUCGAUGAGGGGCCCGCGUCUGAUUAGCUAGUUGGUGGGGUAACGGCUCACCAAGGCAACGAUCAGUAUCCGGCCUGAGAGGGCGGACGGACACACUGGGACUGAGACACGGCCCAGACUCCUACGGGAGGCAGCAGUGGGAAUUGUUCGCAAUGGGCGCAAGCCUGACGACGCAACGCCGCGUGGAGGAUGAAGAUCUUCGGGUCGUAAACUCCUUUCGAUCGAGACGAACAGCCUUCGGGUAAACAAUCCGGAGGUUUGACGGUACCGAGAGAAGAAGCCCCGGCUAACUCCGUGCCAGCAGCCGCGGUAAUACGGGGGGGGCAAGCGUUGUUCGGAAUUACUGGGCGUAAAGGGCUCGUAGGCGGCCAACUAAGUCAGACGUGAAAUCCCUCGGCUUAACCGGGGAACUGCGUCUGAUACUGGAUGGCUUGAGUUUGGGAGAGGGAUGCGGAAUUCCAGGUGUAGCGGUGAAAUGCGUAGAUAUCUGGAGGAACACCGGUGGCGAAGGCGGCAUCCUGGACCAACACUGACGCUGAGUGAGCGAAAGCCAGGGGAGCAAACGGGAUUAGAUACCCNNGUAGUCC
This 810-nucleotide ribosomal RNA is filed under the name uncultured bacterium. RNAcentral describes it as "bacterial SSU rRNA". It matches the Rfam family "Bacterial small subunit ribosomal RNA", at positions 8 to 796 of the family's 1533-position model. The record is from RNAcentral.